GACGAACGCUGGCGGCGUGCCUAAUACAUGCAAGUAGAACGCUGAAGAGAGGAGCUUGCUCUUCUUGGAUGAGUUGCGAACGGGUGAGUAACGCGUAGGUAACCUGCCUGGUAGCGGGGGAUAACUAUUGGAAACGAUAGCUAAUACCGCAUGAAAUUGCUUAUCGCAUGAUAAUUAAUUGAAAGAUGCAAUUGCAUCACUACCAGAUGGACCUGCGUUGUAUUAGCUAGUUGGUGAGGUAACGGCUCACCAAGGCGACGAUACAUAGCCGACCUGAGAGGGUGAUCGGCCACACUGGGACUGAGACACGGCCCAGACUCCUACGGGAGGCAGCAGUAGGGAAUCUUCGGCAAUGGGGGGAACCCUGACCGAGCAACGCCGCGUGAGUGAAGAAGGUUUUCGGAUCGUAAAGCUCUGUUGUAAGAGAAGAACGGGUGUGAGAGUGGAAAGUUCACACUGUGAA
This 463-nucleotide ribosomal RNA is filed under the name Streptococcus sanguinis. Its description in RNAcentral is "bacterial SSU rRNA". It matches the Rfam family "Bacterial small subunit ribosomal RNA", at positions 28 to 473 of the family's 1533-position model. The record is from RNAcentral. Lineage: Bacteria; Bacillati; Bacillota; Bacilli; Lactobacillales; Streptococcaceae.